This 39-nucleotide ribosomal RNA is filed under the name uncultured Acaulospora. RNAcentral's name for it is "partial 28S ribosomal RNA". The record is from RNAcentral. Lineage: Eukaryota; Fungi; Glomeromycota; Glomeromycetes; Diversisporales; Acaulosporaceae.
GCAAACCCGCUGAACUUAAGCAUAUCAAUAAGCGGAGGA